UUCGAGCAGGGGAUGGCCGCGCGGCCCGGUUCAGCCGGGAGUGAGGAAAGUCGGACACCUGGGAACCUGAAGGUCAGAGAAAUCUGGAGAUAUGGAAAGUGCCACAGAAAAUAAACCGCCCCGCGCUACUUUUCGAUGAAAAGUGAUGCGAGGUAAGGGUGAAAAGGCGGGGUAAGAGCCCACCGCGUUGUUUGAAAAAAUAACGGCAUGGCAAACCCCCUUCGGUGCAAUUUCAAGCAGCUCUCGUUUGGUUCCCCGUUCGGUAUGUAUAUGCAUACUGGAAGGGAGCGGGUAGAAAGCAAAGAGGCAGACAGUAUAAUGUUUGUCCAAGAUAAAUGGUCAUCGUCCAUUGUAUGAAUGUGCAAUGGGAACAGAAUCCGGCUUACACCUGCUCAAUUUUU
RNAcentral lists this RNase P RNA (401 nucleotides) under Spirochaetia bacterium. Its description in RNAcentral is "RNase P RNA component class A". It matches the Rfam family "Bacterial RNase P class A". From Rfam's summary of the family: Ribonuclease P (RNase P) is a ubiquitous endoribonuclease, found in archaea, bacteria and eukarya as well as chloroplasts and mitochondria. Its best characterised activity is the generation of mature 5'-ends of tRNAs by cleaving the 5'-leader elements of precursor-tRNAs. Lineage: Bacteria; Pseudomonadati; Spirochaetota; Spirochaetia. The record is from RNAcentral.